CAGUGUGUAUGCUUUAUGAGUAAAUUUACUGUAAUUUCCUUUCAUCAGAUUUUGAGCAAAGAGAGAAAUUACACAAGAAAGCAAGUGAUAAAUAGUCUUUAUUUAGAGGGUUGGAUCCAUAAACACAAAUGUAUCCCACCAUCCCCAAACUCUACAAUAAAUGCCGUUGCUAAUAAUGAUGACUCUGACUCAAGCCAUUUUUCUCUUCAGGAAUGAUUACUCUCCUUUAUGGAUUCUGCUUCAUAAACCAAGAAAGAGACUAAAUCAUCUUCAGAAGAUUUUUUAAGAAUAAUUAAAAUAAAACUAUGGGAUUUGUGUUUCCUUUGUGUGCCUUAAGUUCAUGAGAAAAUUCAAUGGCCAGAACAUCCCAUUCUCUGAAUAUUAUAGAGUGUAUUAUUGUAUAGAGGUUUUUUUCAACCAAAGCAUUGCUGUAUGAAAGGCUUCAUUGAAUUUUAUGCUAUAUUCCUGUCCUGACAAGAAACUAUUAAUUGUCCAGCAGAAAAUGAAAGUAGAAAGGACAACACAGGAACAUAUGUGAGCUGUGCAUUCUCGCACAUAUAAACAAUUUAUUGAUUUCUGCUUUUUAAAAAUUAGAAUAUUGCUUAUUUUGAAAUAGAUGAAUUUGAUAGUAUAGGGAAUAAGAUUCUUCAUGUUCUAGUAUGUAAGUCAGAGUUUACAUAUAACAUUGCUAAUUAGAUUUGCUAACGGGACAGAAAAAAAAUCAA
This 725-nucleotide long non-coding RNA is filed under the name Rattus norvegicus (Norway rat). RNAcentral describes it as "long non-coding RNA NONRATT006555". Lineage: Eukaryota; Metazoa; Chordata; Mammalia; Rodentia; Muridae. The record is from RNAcentral.